UGUUACAUGAUAGUUAGUCAUACAAAUUUAUUGUAAUCCUUUUGUCUCAAUUUAUUUGAACAUUUUAUAAAAACAUUAAAUUCAAAAUUUGUGUGAUUUCUAACAAAAAUUACUUUAAUAUUCUUCAAACUCCUAAAUUCUUUUUUUCCAAAUUAAAAACUUUAAAUUGUCAAUUUGUAUUAAUUUCUAAUAAUUUUUAUAUUUCACAAUUUCUAAUAUUUUUUAGAUUUACUUUAAUUUUAUUGUCAACUUGUAUUAAUUUCCUUGAUUUUUUCUAAUUUUUAAAAUAUUUUAGUGAAGUUAUCAUUUGUAUAGUUCCUUGUAAAGAAAAACAAAUAAGAAACUAUGCUUCAGUUUCUGUCUUGAGGUUUUAAGUUGGGCCUGC
RNAcentral lists this long non-coding RNA (385 nucleotides) under Setaria viridis. Its description in RNAcentral is "long non-coding RNA (SVIR_LNC009607)". Lineage: Eukaryota; Viridiplantae; Streptophyta; Magnoliopsida; Poales; Poaceae. The record is from RNAcentral.